UCCUUGGUGGCUCAGUGGUAAAGAAUCUGCCUGAUAAGCAGAAGAUGUAUGUUCAAUCCCAGGGUU
This 66-nucleotide transfer RNA is filed under the name Bos taurus (domestic cattle). It matches the Rfam family "tRNA". Rfam says of the family: Transfer RNA (tRNA) molecules are approximately 80 nucleotides in length. Their secondary structure includes four short double-helical elements and three loops (D, anti-codon, and T loops). Further hydrogen bonds mediate the characteristic L-shaped molecular structure. tRNAs have two regions of fundamental functional importance: the anti-codon, which is responsible for specific mRNA codon recognition, and the 3' end, to which the tRNAs corresponding amino acid is attached (by aminoacyl-tRNA synthetases). tRNAs cope with the degeneracy of the genetic code in two manners: having more than one tRNA (with a specific anti-codon) for a particular amino acid; and 'wobble' base-pairing, i.e. permitting non-standard base-pairing at the 3rd anti-codon position. Lineage: Eukaryota; Metazoa; Chordata; Mammalia; Artiodactyla; Bovidae. The record is from Rfam by way of RNAcentral.